UACGUAGGGGGCGAGCGUUGUCCGGAUUUACUGGGCGUAAAGAGCGCGUAGGCGGAAGCUUAAGCGGUGCCUGAAAGCCCCCGGCUCAACCGGGGAGGGUGGUGCCGAACUGGGCUUCUUGAGGGCGAUAGAGGAGAGUGGAAUUCCGGGUGUAGCGGUGAAAUGCGUAGAGAUCCGGAGGAACACCAGUGGCGCAGGCGGCUCUCUGGGUCGGCCCUGACGCUGAGGCGCGAAAGCGUGGGGAGCGAACGGG
Molecule: ribosomal RNA, 253 nt
Filed under: uncultured bacterium
Lineage: Bacteria
Description: partial 16S ribosomal RNA
Rfam family: Bacterial small subunit ribosomal RNA
Source: RNAcentral